This 321-nucleotide long non-coding RNA is filed under the name Elaeis guineensis (African oil palm). RNAcentral describes it as "long non-coding RNA (EGUI_LNC000706)". The record is from RNAcentral. Lineage: Eukaryota; Viridiplantae; Streptophyta; Magnoliopsida; Arecales; Arecaceae.
UGGCAUUCGUCUAGCCAUUAUUGAUGGUUGCCAAGUGGUAGAUUAAAGUUGGCCAUGACCAACCUUACAUGAAUCUACGGCUUCAAUGAUCUAAAUAAGUGGAUCAAAGAUAUCACCGGCACAGAUUCAUGAUGCAUGUCAAGUCACUAUUGGUGUCCGAGCUUGGUUGCUAAAAUACAUUAACCAUAUUAGGUCAGCUUCGACUUUGAGUUUCUACUCUCUUCAACCGACCUCAACUCUAAAUUGAACUUGAGACCCAAGGGGGCAAGUAUUGUGUCGACCUUGGCCUUGGCCGACCAAGUCCUUAGAUAUGAAUGAGGU